Molecule: transfer RNA, 75 nt
Filed under: Spirochaetes bacterium GWF1_51_8
Lineage: Bacteria; Pseudomonadati; Spirochaetota
Description: tRNA-Arg
Rfam family: tRNA
About the family: Transfer RNA (tRNA) molecules are approximately 80 nucleotides in length. Their secondary structure includes four short double-helical elements and three loops (D, anti-codon, and T loops).
Source: RNAcentral
GGGGCUAUAGCUCAGCUGGAUUAGAGCGUCACACUCCGGAUGUGAAGGUCAGCAGUUCGAAUCUGCUUAGCUCCG